This 891-nucleotide long non-coding RNA is filed under the name Apteryx rowi (Okarito brown kiwi). RNAcentral describes it as "lncRNA (ENSARWG00000018351.1)". The record is from RNAcentral. Lineage: Eukaryota; Metazoa; Chordata; Aves; Apterygiformes; Apterygidae.
UGUUGCUGUCACUGAUGGAAUUUGAUUGUUGCCAUCCUGUAGCCCAAGUCAGGCUGUGGUGGGAACAAAGCACACGAAAGUGAAGCCUGCUUCUGCGGUGUGACUUCUGCUCUCAAGCUCUUUUGUAUACAGAAGAGGGUUCAAGACUCCUAAGAAGCACAGCAGAACAGGAACAAGAGCCUCAGCUCCUGGCUGAGGGAGAGGAGUCUCAGGAGACAGCUGAGCCCAGCUCAUGGACUCCUUGCAGAACAAAGAAUGUCAUGGCACUAUUUACGAUUUUUUGAAAGUUUUAUUUUUGAUGUCUUCAUUUUUUUUGUUUAUUUUCAGCAUGGGAAAUAUUGUCUUAUGAUCAGCUGAAUUUUAUUAUCCUCCCUUGGAAACUUCAAGGUGGGGGGAAAGAARGAGAGAGAGAGAAGGGGACUCUCUAGGAAGAUCAUCUGCUCCAGGCAUUAUGGGCUUGAUGUGACUACUGAUGUGUUCCUGCUGAGCAGCUGAGUGGCGAGGGCAGAUGGGGGAGCUGCGCAGCAUUGGGAACUGUUGACGAAGCAGCCAGACUUUUGGGAAACCACUUUUGAAGACUGGCGAGCGUUAUAUAACACUGGAUUUGAACUCCCAUUUAGAAAAUGGGAGCAGAAGAAACGGGCAAAUAUCACUGAUCUUGACAAAUUUGAGUGGAGCAGCGAGCAGGACCCUGCGUGGGCUGAAAGCGCUCGCUCYUGCGCAGUGCUCGGCAGCAGGGGGGAGGAAGGGUUUAACCAGGCGUCCGGACCUGCCCAGACCCGGGACUAUUGAACCACCGUUUGGUAGAAAUGCAGCUUUGCUUAAUUUUCUCAUAUUUUUUUUGUGUGCUUAAUUUAUUAAAAUAGUUGCUGUAUAAUUUAUUUUCAUAAA